UACGUAGGGGGCAAGCGUUAUCCGGAUUUAUUGGGCGUAAAGCGUGUGUAGGCGGUUUACUAAGUCUAAAAUGAAAGCCCGAGGCUCAACCUCGGUUUGUUUUAGAUACUGGUAGACUAGAGUAUGGUAGAGGCAAAUGGAAUUCCUAGUGUAGCGGUGGAAUGCGUAGAUAUUAGGAGGAACAUCAGUGGCGAAGGCGAUUUGCUGGGCCAUCACUGACGCUGAGACACGAAAGCGUGGGUAGCAAAUAGGAUUAGAUACCCUAGUAGUCCACGCUGUAAACGAUGAGCACUAAGUGUCGGGAAACCGGUGCUGAAGUUAACACAUUAAGUGCUCCGCCUGAGUAGUACGGUCGCAAGACUUAA
This 365-nucleotide ribosomal RNA is filed under the name uncultured bacterium. RNAcentral's name for it is "bacterial SSU rRNA". It matches the Rfam family "Bacterial small subunit ribosomal RNA", at positions 524 to 898 of the family's 1533-position model. The record is from RNAcentral.